GGGUUGUGAGGUUAAGCGACUAAGCGUACACGGUGGAUGCCCUGGCAGUCAGAGGCGAUGAAGGACGUGCUAAUCUGCGAAAAGCGUCGGUAAGGUGAUAUGAACCGUUAUAGCCGGCGAUGUCCGAAUGGGGAAACCCAGUGCAAUUCGUUGCACUAUCGUUAACUGAAUACAUAGGUUAACGAGGCGAACCGGGGGAACUGAAACAUCUAAGUACCCCGAGGAAAAGAAAUCAACCGAGAUUCCCCCAGUAGCGGCGAGCGAACG
RNAcentral lists this ribosomal RNA (267 nucleotides) under Klebsiella quasipneumoniae subsp. quasipneumoniae. RNAcentral describes it as "partial 23S ribosomal RNA". It matches the Rfam family "Bacterial large subunit ribosomal RNA", at positions 1 to 259 of the family's 2925-position model. Lineage: Bacteria; Pseudomonadati; Pseudomonadota; Gammaproteobacteria; Enterobacterales; Enterobacteriaceae. The record is from RNAcentral.